Molecule: ribosomal RNA, 493 nt
Filed under: uncultured bacterium
Lineage: Bacteria
Description: bacterial SSU rRNA
Rfam family: Bacterial small subunit ribosomal RNA
Source: RNAcentral
AGCGAACGUUUGCGGCGGGCCUAACACAUGCAAGUCGAACGGGUUGGCAACAACCAGUGGCGCACGGGUGCGUAACACGUAGGUAAUCUACCCUCAAGUUCGGGAUAACGAUCUGAAAGGAUCGCUAAUACCGGAUGUGUUCCGAAAGGAAGAAAGACCCGCAAGGGUCGCUAGAGGACGAGCCUGCGGCCCAUCAGCUAGUUGGUGAGGUAAUGGCUCACCAAGGCUAAGACGGGUAGCUGGUCUGAGAGGAUGAUCAGUCACACUGGAACUGAGACACGGUCCAGACUCCUACGGGAGGCAGCAGUGGGGAAUAUUGCGCAAUGGGCGAAAGCCUGACGCAGCCACGCCGCGUGAGCGAUGAAGGCCUCGGUCGUAAGACUCUGUGGGAGGAGACGAAGAAAGACCUGUGAAGAGCGGGCCGUUGACGGUAGUACUCCUUAGCAAGCACCGGCUAACUCCGUGCCAGCAGCCGCGGUAACUGUAGACGUCU